Molecule: ribosomal RNA, 446 nt
Filed under: uncultured bacterium
Lineage: Bacteria
Description: partial 16S ribosomal RNA
Rfam family: Bacterial small subunit ribosomal RNA
Source: RNAcentral
CCUACGGGAGGCAGCAGUCGAGAAUCAUUCACAAUGGGGGAAACCCUGAUGGUGCGACGCCGCGUGGGGGAAUGAAGGUCUUCGGAUUGUAAACCCCUGUCAUGUGGGAGCAAAUUAAAAAGAUCGUACCACAAGAGGAAGAGACGGCUAACUCUGUGCCAGCAGCCGCGGUAAUACAGAGGUCUCAAGCGUUGUUCGGAAUCACUGGGCGUAAAGCGUGCGUAGGCUGUUUCGUAAGUCGUGUGUGAAAGGCGCGGGCUCAACCCGCGGACGGCACAUGAUACUGCGAGACUAGAGUAAGGGAGGGGGAACCGGAAUUCUCGGUGUAGCAGUGAAAUGCGUAGAUAUCGAGAGGAACACUCGUGGCGAAGACGGGUUCCUGGACAUUAACUGACGCUGAGGCACGAAGGCCAGGGGAGCGAAAGGGAUUAGAUACCCGGGUAGUC